GAAGUGGACCGAGCGGCCGCGGCGGCCUCGGCUCAGUCGAGGCCGGCGAGGAAAGUCCGGCCUCCGCAGGGCAGGACGCUGGGUAACCCCCAGGCGCCGCAAGGCGAUGGAAAGUGCCACAGAAACAUACCGCCCACGGUGAUUUCAGAUUGCGGAUUUCAGGUCUCAGAUUGUGCCUCCGGCACGAGCGCCGCGAUCCGGUCCAAUCUGAAACCUGCAAUCUGAGAUCACCGUGGGUAAGGGUGAAAUGGUGCGGUAAGAGCGCACCAGUUCCGGCGGUGACGCCGGAAGCUGGGUAAACCCCGUUCGGAGCAAGGUCAAAUAGGAGGGGGAUGACGCUGCCCGCCGACCCCUCGGGUUGACCGCUACAGGCGUGCGGUAACGCACGUCGAAGAUAAAUGGCCGCUUCCGCCCGCAAGGGCGCCAGACAGGAGCCGGCUUACAGGUCCACUUCGCCA
Molecule: RNase P RNA, 458 nt
Filed under: Armatimonadetes bacterium CG2_30_66_41
Lineage: Bacteria; Bacillati; Armatimonadota
Also listed under: 6 other names
Description: RNase P RNA component class A
Rfam family: Bacterial RNase P class A
About the family: Ribonuclease P (RNase P) is a ubiquitous endoribonuclease, found in archaea, bacteria and eukarya as well as chloroplasts and mitochondria. Its best characterised activity is the generation of mature 5'-ends of tRNAs by cleaving the 5'-leader elements of precursor-tRNAs. Cellular RNase Ps are ribonucleoproteins.
Source: RNAcentral